RNAcentral lists this unclassified non-coding RNA (292 nucleotides) under uncultured Sebacinaceae. Its description in RNAcentral is "sequence contains ITS2". Lineage: Eukaryota; Fungi; Basidiomycota; Agaricomycetes; Sebacinales; Sebacinaceae. The record is from RNAcentral.
AACGCACCUUGCACCCUUUGGUAUUCCAAAGGGUAUGCUCGUUUGAGUGUCAUUGUACUCUCAUACUCUCCGAUCUUAGGAUUGGGAGUGGUGGACUUGGGUGUUGCUGCUUCACUGUGGCUCACCUGAAAUGCAUUAGUGCAACUCUUGACUAACCAUAGUAUGGCAUGAUAAGCAUCUUUGCCAGCACCUCUCCGGAGGGUGGCCAGUCAAGAGCUCUGUGCUUCUAACUGUCUUUGGACAAUCUUGACAACUUGACCUCAAAUCGAGUAGGACUACCCGCUGAACUUAA